Molecule: ribosomal RNA, 398 nt
Filed under: uncultured bacterium
Lineage: Bacteria
Description: bacterial SSU rRNA
Rfam family: Bacterial small subunit ribosomal RNA
Source: RNAcentral
GACGAACGCUGGCGGCGUGCUUAACACAUGCAAGUCGAGCGGUAAGGCCCUUUCGGGGGCACACGAGCGGCGAACGGGUGAGUAACACGUGGGUGACCUGCCCUCAGCUCUGGGAUAAGCCUGGGAAACCGGGUCUAAUACCGGAUAUGACUCCAUGACGCAUGUUGUGGGGUGGAAAGCCUUGUGCGGCUGAGGAUGGGCCCGCGGCCUAUCAGCUUGUUGGUGGGGUGAUGGCCUACCAAGGCGACGACGGGUAGCCGGCCUGAGAGGGCGACCGGCCACACUGGGACUGAGACACGGCCCAGACUCCUACGGGAGGCAGCAGUGGGGAAUCUUGCGCAAUGGGCGAAAGCCUGACGCAGCGACGCCGCGUGAGGGAUGACGGCCUCGGUUGUAAC